CCGCGGUAACACCGGCGGCCCGAGUGGUAGCCGUUUUUAUUGGGUCUAAAGGGUCCGUAGCCGGCCUGAUAAGUCCUUUGGGAAAUCUGGCAGCUUAACUGUCAGGCUUCUAAGGGAUACUGUCAGGCUUGGGACCGGAAGAGGUAAGGGGUACUCCAGGGGUAGGAGUGAAAUCUUGUAAUCCCUGGGGGACCAUCUGUGGCGAAGGCGCCUUACCAGAACGGGUCCGACGGUGAGGGACGAAAGCUAGGGGAGCAAACCGGAUUAGAUACCCGGGUAGUCCUAGCUGUAAACGAUGCUCGCUAGGUGUCAGACACGGUGCGACCGUGUUUGGUGCCGCAGGGAAGCCGUUAAGCGAGCCACCUGGAAGUACGUCGCAAGGC
This 383-nucleotide ribosomal RNA is filed under the name uncultured euryarchaeote. RNAcentral's name for it is "bacterial SSU rRNA". It matches the Rfam family "Archaeal small subunit ribosomal RNA", at positions 465 to 849 of the family's 1478-position model. RNAcentral also lists the same sequence under 1 other name. Lineage: Archaea; Methanobacteriati; Methanobacteriota. The record is from RNAcentral.